RNAcentral lists this ribosomal RNA (278 nucleotides) under Clostridioides difficile. RNAcentral describes it as "partial 16S ribosomal RNA". It matches the Rfam family "Bacterial small subunit ribosomal RNA", at positions 181 to 480 of the family's 1533-position model. The record is from RNAcentral. Lineage: Bacteria; Bacillati; Bacillota; Clostridia; Peptostreptococcales; Peptostreptococcaceae.
UUGAGAGGCAUCUCUUAAAUAUCAAAGGUGAGCCAGUACAGGAUGGACCCGCGUCUGAUUAGCUAGUUGGUAAGGUAACGGCUUACCAAGGCGACGAUCAGUAGCCGACCUGAGAGGGUGAUCGGCCACAUUGGAACUGAGACACGGUCCAACCUCCUACGGGAGGCAGCAGUGGGGAAUAUUGCACAAUGGGCGAAAGCCUGAUGCAGCAACGCCGCGUGAGUGAUGAAGGCCUGGGUCGUAAAACUCUGUCCUCAAGGAAGAUAAUGACGGUACUU